This is a non-coding RNA of Lepisosteus oculatus (spotted gar), 1306 nucleotides long. Lineage: Eukaryota; Metazoa; Chordata; Actinopteri; Semionotiformes; Lepisosteidae. The record is from RefSeq and is a predicted model, not a curated record.
CAGUGUUGUUUCCAUGGCAACACAGGAAUAGGUUUCUGAGCAGUCACUACCCGUUCUGUCACCGUGGCAACGUUUGGCUUCUAUCCAGAGUUUGGGGGUAUUUUGUUUCCUUUCGGGGAGCAUUUCAGGUUGAUCACCCGCAGAAGGCGCCACUCCACUUCAGCUUCUAGACAACAACUCCCCCCGUGUUUGCUCCCCUAAUUCAUUUCGACGAGUGCCUUGCGAUUAAGGGAUUCACUGCUGUGGCGGAUGAUGGGGAUCCUUCAUCUCCCUGACUCAUUCCUGUCGAAAGCGAGGGGUGUUCGGUCAGCCUCGCCCUCGAGGUCGGAUUGCUGUUCCCUCAGCGGCGUGACCUAUGCCAAACGAUGUCUCACACGCGCUGCCUGCGUGUGGCCACUCUGUGGGAGUGACCGCUCCUCAUUCACAGGCUGUGAUCACUGUUGGGGAAAGUCCGUUUCCACCCGGCCCGCUCGUCAAGAGCCUGACCCACUGGUUUGACUGGAUCUUGUAAGCAGGAGAUCAGCGAGGACUCUUCUCCUCAAGCCUGCUGAGAGCUACAGUUCAGGGACAGAGGGGUCGUAGAGGAAGGUAGGGAAAGUAUCCGGGCACAGGGUGCGGUGCUCGUAUUACCAGUAGGACUGGCGGGUAGUAAGACAUUUUAUUCUUCCUCUGCUCUUCCACAGAAGCCUUGCACAUUGGUUGUCUCAGCUUCUGCAAUGUGCCUAGCUGGGAUGGUUCGCAAUCCUCAUCUCAGGGAAGAACGAUAGAAAUCUUAGACGUCUUCAUCUACCACACUGCCCUCUCUGGAGCUCGGUUGUUCUGAAACAAGGGCACUUUUCAGACAGCACUUUCAUGUGCUAUAGGCAUCAUUAGGCUUUGGGUCUGAUUUACCCGUGAGAGUGAGGGUAUGAAUAUUCAGUGGUUUGUAAGAGCCGUGGAAUUUUCGAUGGUAAAGAUCAAAUUCUCAGGGACAGGAGAUAAGUCUGCUGCAGCUCGGGAGGUUUGGGUUUUUACAGUGGAAAACACAUGGAUGGGCUCAGAUUGUGGACUGGUUAUGUCACAUUUAUUAACCCUGUUGCAGACAAACCUGAAGUUACAAUAAUAGCAGAUGAAAUCAUCUUCUGCUUGAGCAUCGGAGACCAUCGCCUUGCACAAACCAGGCAGCCCAUUCCAAAGAAGGUCUGUAUUCCGCUUUAUUGCCACGUAAGAAAUGUAAAUAUUGUACAGUGAAUAUAGAUAGGUUACAAAUCAACAUUCUGAGAGAAACCCCCAAACAGUCAACAGAAAAUCAGAGUAGGCAGAGAAA